CGGUCUUGAAAACCGAAGUAUUGAUAGGAAUACCGGGGGUUCGAAUGCCCGAUCCAGCAAUAUCGCGUGAGUGAAGAAGGGCAAUGCCGCUUGUAAAGCUCUUUUGUCGAGUGCGCGAUCAUGACAGGACUCGAGGAAGAAGCCCCGGCUAACUCCGUGCCAACAGCCGCGGUAAGACCGGGGGGGGGGCAAGUGUUCUUCGGAAUGACUAGGCGUAAAGGGCACGUAGGCGGUGAAUCGGGUUGAAAGUGAAAGUCGCCAAAAAGUGGCGGAAUGCUGGCGGCAUAGGAACCACGGGAACCUAGGAGGGAGAAAGACGAUGUACGGUAUAUGGGAUCCUCGUAGUAGGCUGGACCAAAAUCCAGCCGAGAGAGGGCAGCCUUUAGAAGCAACAGGUGGGGAAACCAAGAGAAGGCUUCGCCUUUUCUUAUCUUCUUC
Molecule: non-coding RNA, 438 nt
Filed under: Oryza rufipogon (brownbeard rice)
Lineage: Eukaryota; Viridiplantae; Streptophyta; Magnoliopsida; Poales; Poaceae
Description: Bacterial small subunit ribosomal RNA
Rfam family: Bacterial small subunit ribosomal RNA
Source: Rfam by way of RNAcentral